UUUAUGCGGGUGCAGCAGAGGUCAAAUGUGGACACUGAAUUGAGGGCAUCGGAUUCCCUGGAGCUAGAAUGCAGUUGUUAACUGGUGCUUACUGAGGAUUUUCACUUGGUAAAAUUACAGAUGUAUCCUGGGACUAUUUUACAGUAUCAAGUUUUUCUCUGUCACUUGUAUUUGGUGUUAAGGAGCUAACAGAUAACUAGGCCUGCGUGUCCAUCACCUGCACCUUCUGAGACAUACCAUGGAAUUUAAAGUGUUCCUGAGACUGAGGGCCAUGAUCCCUGGCCACGAGGUCACUGAGAAUCACUAAAUUGUUCAAAGAGACUGUUGAUGGAGAAAUAAGCAGAGAUAAUUAUCACUGCCCGAUCCUACCAAAGAACCAUAUGUCCAAACACAUUGUCCUUCUUCAGCUCCACUCCCCUCUUACCCCAGAAUGACUUCUGAUAAUGAACAACAUCCUGAUGUUGUCUUGGGAA
Molecule: long non-coding RNA, 473 nt
Organism: Peromyscus eremicus (cactus mouse)
Lineage: Eukaryota; Metazoa; Chordata; Mammalia; Rodentia; Cricetidae
Exons: 4
Source: RefSeq, a predicted model, not a curated record